UUACCUUAUAUAUACACUUAUGGCCUGCUGGCCUACUUACAAUAUACACUUAGCCUAGGUUACUGUUAGUAAGACUUUUUUUUUUUUUUUUUUUUUUUUUUUUUUUUUUUUUUUUUUUUUUUUUUUUUUUUUUUUUUUUUUUUUUUUUUUUUAUUUUUUUUUUUUUUUUUUUUUUUUUUCCUUUUUGUAGUCAAUAUUAUAUAAUUUAUCCUAAUUAAUUUGGUACACAUGUAAAAUUAUUUUGCACACGUUUUGUAAUAUGUAAUUAAUACUAUUUAAU
RNAcentral lists this unclassified non-coding RNA (280 nucleotides) under Melitaea cinxia (Glanville fritillary). RNAcentral describes it as "misc RNA ENSMCXG00005008466.1". The record is from RNAcentral. Lineage: Eukaryota; Metazoa; Arthropoda; Insecta; Lepidoptera; Nymphalidae.